CAGCCCUUGACAUCCCGGUCGCGGUUUCCAGAGAUGGAUACCUUCAGUUCGGCUGGACCGGUGACAGGUGCUGCAUGGCUGUCGUCAGCUCGUGUCGUGAGAUGUUGGGUUAAGUCCCGCAACGAGCGCAACCCUCGCCCUUAGUUGCCAGCAUUCAGUUGGGCACUCUAAGGGGACUGCCGGUGAUAAGCCGAGAGGAAGGUGGGGAUGACGUCAAGUCCUCAUGGCCCUUACGGGCUGGGCUACACACGUGCUACAAUGGUGGUGACAGUGGGCAGCGAGACCGCGAGGUCGAGCUAAUCUCCAAAAGCCAUCUCAGUUCGGAUUGCACUCUGCAACUCGAGUGCAUGAAGUUGGAAUCGCUAGUAAUCGCGGAUCAGCAUGCCGCGGUGAAUACGUUCCC
This 403-nucleotide ribosomal RNA is filed under the name uncultured bacterium. Its description in RNAcentral is "bacterial SSU rRNA". It matches the Rfam family "Bacterial small subunit ribosomal RNA", at positions 975 to 1375 of the family's 1533-position model. The record is from RNAcentral.